AGGUGCCAGUAAGCUCCCAGCUUGGAAGGGCUGUUAGAGCAUUAUGUUUUUACCUGUCAGCUGAGCAGGGUUGGGGUAGAAGUGUAUUCCACGAUGCCAAUUUCACAGUCACACUGCAGGUAGAGCUACACUUUAAGCACAGCUGUUGAUACGAGCCAGCCAUCUGAGCCUGUUCAGCUCACCAGGAUUCAGUCAUUCUUGCCUGGCUUAGGGUCAGACAGCAGCAGCACGAGGAAGAGGAGCAGCAGCAGCAACACUGGUCUGAGCUACAAGGGCCACUUCUCCCUGCAUCCUGAUCUAGGAAAUCUCCCCUCCCUAGGGACCUAAGGGAUGGGGAAAGAGAAAGCUGCCUUUCCCGGCUAAAGAAACUCCGUCUAGCUGAGCAGUUCCCGUGGAAGGAUGGCACACUCUGAGGGGAGGCAGGAGACUUUCAGUCCCCUCAGAAGACAAGGCAAUGAAUAGCUUUCCCGCCCUGGUGUUGCUAGAAGGACUGUCAAAAUCAGAUGGGCCAUCCAGGAGCAUGCAAUGCAAAGGGUUGGUUAAUGGCCCUAUCACACCUGGGAAAUGCUACCUGCUCGGAAGCUCAUCCUGUGGACUUGGGAGCUGAAUGAAGGAAAUAAAGUCACAGGAAAAUUUUC
This is a long non-coding RNA of Mauremys reevesii (Reeves's turtle), 638 nucleotides long. RefSeq lists it as uncharacterized. The transcript is spliced from 4 exons. NCBI's taxonomy places the organism in Eukaryota, Metazoa, Chordata, Testudines, Geoemydidae. The record is from RefSeq and is a predicted model, not a curated record.